AAUGAACGCUGGCGGCAGGCCUAACACAUGCCAGUCGAGCGAGCAUUUCGGUGCUAGCGGCGGACGGGUGAGUAACGCGUGGGAACGUGCCCUUUUCUGCGGAAUAGUCCUGGGAAACUGGGGGUAAUACCGCAUACGCCCUUUUGGGGAAAGAUUUAUCGGAGAAGGAUCGGCCCGCGUUGGAUUAGGUAGUUGGUGGGGUAAUGGCCCACCAAGCCGACGAUCCAUAGCUGGUUUGAGAGGAUGAUCAGCCACACUGGGACUGAGACACGGCCCAGACUCCUACGGGAGGCAGCAGUGGGGAAUCUUAGGCAAUGGGGGCAACCCUGAUCUAGCCAUGCCGCGUGAGUGAUGAAGGCCUUAGGGUUGUAAAGCUCUUUCAGCUGGGAAGAUAAUGACGGUACCAGCAGAAGAAGCCCCGGCUAACUCCGUG
RNAcentral lists this ribosomal RNA (433 nucleotides) under uncultured bacterium. RNAcentral describes it as "partial 16S ribosomal RNA". It matches the Rfam family "Bacterial small subunit ribosomal RNA", at positions 29 to 507 of the family's 1533-position model. The record is from RNAcentral.